GCUGGGCCAGGAUGUCCUGGUCUCUAAUCAGGUGUCCAGUUUACUCCAGUCCAUCUUACAGCUCCAUAAGCUUCACCUCCCCGCUGAUUUUUGCAUCAUGCAUCUGGAAGACAGACUACAGGAGAUGUACCUCAAAAGUAAAAUGCUUUCAGAGUAUCUCCGGGGACACACACGUGUGCACGUGAAAGAGCUGAGCGUGGUGCUGGGGUGAGUUCUGGGAAAGGCUGGCCUUUCUCCAACGUGUACUGGCUGCAGUCCGAUGCAGCACGCACAUGCACACAUGCACACACACACGACCUAUUGGCCUGUGUCAUUCUCUAUCUACAGGAUCAGUAUUUCUCACUGUGCCCAGGGACAGUCAGAGGUGUGCCCAUUCCCCAGUGAGUUGCAGCUUGUAGGCUGGAGUGACAUUUGAUCUAAUUCUAUCUCUUCAUUCA
RNAcentral lists this long non-coding RNA (437 nucleotides) under Rattus norvegicus (Norway rat). RNAcentral describes it as "long non-coding RNA NONRATT016487". Lineage: Eukaryota; Metazoa; Chordata; Mammalia; Rodentia; Muridae. The record is from RNAcentral.